CGCAAUUCUUUCAUCGCGUUUGUCCUGAGAGAACAAAAGGGACUUCAUAAAACCGCAGAGUGGCCUUGCUGAGGGUCGUGCGCUGUCCUUGGCUAAGCUGUGAGCCUUGAGUAUUCGUAUCUGUGCGACGGCUGGAGGUGCUGGCAGACCUACUUGCUGUAGACGAGGUCAGUUUUUCAUCCACCUUCAUCCAUAGAGGCAGGACCUAGAGGAGGAGAUAGGAGACUCUGAACCUGCCCCUUUUACGAACUGCAGGAGAUCCUACCAUCGUUCAGGGUGAUGGCUUUAAGAACGCCUGGAAACUCAUCAGGCAUGUCUGAAUUGUGCCAUAUGAACCUGCACUCCUCUAAAGCAGAACAAGGGAAACAAGUAACUCUGCUCUCUCCUGUAUGUGACAGGGAGAGAGACUGACUGUAUUAUGCAAUGAAGGAAGCCAGAGAAUAAUGAGAAUGAUGUAAUAAAGAUGUUUGAAUCCUCCUGAAGAGGAGGGCA
RNAcentral lists this long non-coding RNA (492 nucleotides) under Struthio camelus australis. Its description in RNAcentral is "lncRNA (ENSSCUG00000009161.1)". Lineage: Eukaryota; Metazoa; Chordata; Aves; Struthioniformes; Struthionidae. The record is from RNAcentral.